RNAcentral lists this transfer RNA (68 nucleotides) under Pseudosoriculus fumidus (Taiwan brown-toothed shrew). RNAcentral's name for it is "tRNA-Arg". It matches the Rfam family "tRNA". From Rfam's summary of the family: Transfer RNA (tRNA) molecules are approximately 80 nucleotides in length. The record is from RNAcentral. Lineage: Eukaryota; Metazoa; Chordata; Mammalia; Eulipotyphla; Soricidae.
UAGUAAUUAGUUUAAACAAAACAAAUGAUUUCGACUCAUUAGAUUGUGAUCAUUUACACAAUUACUAA